Molecule: long non-coding RNA, 263 nt
Organism: Zonotrichia leucophrys gambelii
Lineage: Eukaryota; Metazoa; Chordata; Aves; Passeriformes; Passerellidae
Exons: 3
Source: RefSeq, a predicted model, not a curated record
GUGAAACUGCUUAAUAACCCUGCCAGUCACUGCCUUUCAGAUGCUGGAGCCGGUCUGAGGGGAAAUGAGCAGAGAUGGAAUUUGUUCAUGCUUUUUUGUUCUGGUCAUCGAAGCUGGGCUUCAGAGCCAAGGUGGGAUGCCAAGCUCAUUCUGAAGAUCCAUGAGAAGCCUCCCAGAUCUAGAAAACUUGCAGUCAAGACACCUACAGAGAUGAAGGAGCAGAUCAUUUUUAGUGAAUCCUGAAACACCAGAAGGACACUAGA